RNAcentral lists this ribosomal RNA (422 nucleotides) under uncultured bacterium. Its description in RNAcentral is "partial 16S ribosomal RNA". It matches the Rfam family "Bacterial small subunit ribosomal RNA", at positions 360 to 775 of the family's 1533-position model. The record is from RNAcentral.
AAUUUUGGACAAUGGGGGAAACCCUGAUCCAGCCAUCCCGCGUGCAUGAUGAAGGCCUUCGGGUUGUAAAGUACUCUUGGCAGAGAAGAAAAGGUAUCUCCUAAUACGAGAUACUGCUGACGGUAUCUGCAGAAUAAGCACCGGCUAACUACGUGCCAGCAGCCGCGGUAAUAAGUAGGGUGCAAGCGUUAAUCGGAAUUACUGGGGGGAAAGCGUGUAGGCGCGGUUCGGAAAGAAGGUGUGAAAUCCCAGGGCUCAACCUUGGAACUGCAUUUUUAACUGCCGAGCUAGAGUAUGUCAGAGGGGGGUAGAAUUCCACGUGUAGGAGUGAAAUGCGUAGAUAUGUGGAGGAAUACCGAUGGCGAAGGCAGCCCCCUGGGAUAAUACCGACGCUCAGACACGAAAGCGUGGGGAGCAAACAG